UAGCAUGUUUCCAAGGUUUGUGACAGGUCACAGCCGUGGGACCUCCAACUGCAGGAAGAAUAACCGGAGACUCUGACAGCACAGGUCAGCAUAGCACCUGCAACCUUGCUAUUUUUCAGAGCCAGGGCU
Small nucleolar RNA from Erinaceus europaeus (western European hedgehog), 129 nucleotides. Lineage: Eukaryota; Metazoa; Chordata; Mammalia; Eulipotyphla; Erinaceidae. The record is from Ensembl.